Molecule: ribosomal RNA, 484 nt
Filed under: uncultured bacterium
Lineage: Bacteria
Description: partial 16S ribosomal RNA
Rfam family: Bacterial small subunit ribosomal RNA
Source: RNAcentral
GAUGAACGCUGGCGGCGUGCUUAACACAUGCAAGUCGAACGAUGAAGCCCUAGCUUGCUGGGGUGGAAGAGUGGCGAACGGGUGAGUAACACGUGAGUAACCUGCCCUUAACUCUGGGAUAAGCACUGGAAACGGUGUCUAAUACUGAAUAUGACCUCUGGAGGCAUCUUUGGGGGUGGAAAGAUUUAUCGGUUUUGGAUGGACUCGCGGCCUAUCAGCUUGUUGGUGAGGUAAUGGCUCACCAAGGCGACGACGGGUAGCCGGCCUGAGAGGGGGACCGGCCACACUGGGACUGAGACACGGCCCAGACUCCUACGGGAGGCAGCAGUGGGGAAUAUUGCACAAUGGGCGCAAGCCUGAUGCAGCAACGCCGCGUGAGGGAUGACGGCCUUCGGGUUGUAAACCUCUUUUAGUGAGGAAGAAGCGAAAGUGACGGUGCUCACAGAAAAAGCACCGGCUAACUACGUGCCAGCAGCCGCCGUAA